This 490-nucleotide ribosomal RNA is filed under the name uncultured bacterium. Its description in RNAcentral is "partial 16S ribosomal RNA". It matches the Rfam family "Bacterial small subunit ribosomal RNA", at positions 30 to 507 of the family's 1533-position model. The record is from RNAcentral.
AUUGAACGCUGGCGGCAGGCCUAACACAUGCAAGUCGAACGGUAACAGGAAGAAGCUUGCUUCUUUGCUGACGAGUGGCGGACGGGUGAGUAAUGUCUGGGAAACUGCCUGAUGGAGGGGGAUAACUACUGGAAACGGUAGCUAAUACCGCAUAACGUCGCAAGACCAAAGAGGGGGACCUUCGGGCCUCUUGCCAUCGGAUGUGCCCAGAUGGGAUUAGCUAGUAGGUGGGGUAACGGCUCACCUAGGCGACGAUCCCUAGCUGGCCUGAGAGGAUGACCAGCCACACUGGAACUGAGACACGGUCCAGACUCCUACGGGAGGCAGCAGUGGGGAAUAUUGCACAAUGGGCGCAAGCCUGAUGCAGCCAUGCCGCGUGUAUGAAGAAGGCCUUCGGGUUGUAAAGUACUUUCAGCGGGGAGGAAGGGAGUAAAGUUAAUACCUUUACUCAUUGACGUUACCCGCAGAAGAAGCACCGGCUAACUCCGUG